GGGCCCGCACAAGCGGUGGAGUAUGUGGUUUAAUUCGAUGCAACGCGAAGAACCUUACCAGGGUUUGACAUCCUGCGAAUCUCUUGGAAACGAGAGAGUGCCUUCGGGAACGCAGUGACAGGUGGUGCAUGGCUGUCGUCAGCUCGUGUCGUGAGAUGUUGGGUUAAGUCCCGCAACGAGCGCAACCCACGUCUUUAGUUGCCAGCAUUUAGUUGGGCACUCUAGGAGAACUGCCGGUGACAAGCCGGAGGAAGGCGGGGAUGACGUCAAGUCCUCAUGGCCCUUACGGGCUGGGCUACACACGUGCUACAAUGGCGGUGACAAUGGGCAGCAAACCCGCAAGGGUGAGCUAAUCCGUGAAAAACCGUCUCAGUUCGGAUUGUACUCUGCAACUCGAGUGCAUGAAGUUGGAAUCGCUAGUAA
This 423-nucleotide ribosomal RNA is filed under the name uncultured bacterium. Its description in RNAcentral is "bacterial SSU rRNA". It matches the Rfam family "Bacterial small subunit ribosomal RNA", at positions 917 to 1341 of the family's 1533-position model. The record is from RNAcentral.